UUAGUAACUGCGAGUGAAGAGGGAAAAGCUCAAAUUUAAAAUCUGGCAGUGUUUCACUGUCCGAGUUGUAACCUAGAGAAGUGUAACCUGCACUGGACCGUGUACAAGUCUCCUGGAAUGGAGCAUCACAGAGGGUGAGAAUCCCGUCUUUGACAUGGACUGCCAGUGCAUUGUGGUURUGCUCUCAACGAGUCGAGUUGUUUGGGAAUGCAGCUCUAAAUGGGUGGUAAAUUCCAUCUAAAGCUAAAUAUUGGCGAGAGACCGAUAGCGAACAAGUACCGUGAGGGAAAGAUGAAAAGAACUUUGGAAAGAGAGUUAAACAGUAUGUGAAAUUGUUGAAAGGGAAACAUUUGAAGUCAGUCGCGUUGGCUGGGGAUCAACCUGACUUUUUGUUAGGUGUACUUCCUGGUUGACGGGUCAACAUCAGUUUUGACUGCCAGAAAAAGGCUAAGGGAAUGUGGCACCUUUGGGUGUGUUAUAGCUCUUGGUCGUAUGUGGUGGUUGGGACUGAGGAAAGCAGUGUGCCGAAAGGCCGGGUUUCGACCACGUUCACACUGAGGAUGUUGGCAUAAUGGCUUUAAGUGACCCGUCUUGAAACACGGACCAAGGAGUCUAACAUGCAUGCGAGUGUUUGGGUGGAAAACCCUUACGCGUAAUGAAAGUGAAAGUUGAGAUCCCUGUCGUGGGGAGCAUCGACGCCCGGACCAGAACUUUUGGGACGGAUCUGCGGUAGAGCAAGUAUGUUGGGACCCGAAAGAUGGUGAACUAUGCCUGAAUAGGGUGAAGCCAGAGGAAACUCUGGUGGAGGCUCGUAGCGAUUCUGACGUGCAAAUCGAUCGUCGAAUUUGGGAUAGGGGCGAAAACAAUCG
This 869-nucleotide ribosomal RNA is filed under the name Amanita sepiacea. RNAcentral's name for it is "eukaryotic LSU rRNA". It matches the Rfam family "Eukaryotic large subunit ribosomal RNA", at positions 80 to 937 of the family's 3401-position model. The record is from RNAcentral. Lineage: Eukaryota; Fungi; Basidiomycota; Agaricomycetes; Agaricales; Amanitaceae.